AUGGGUUGGGUGGGUGGGUCACGGAUGGGUUGGUUGGUGGUUGGUCGGAGCGUGGGUGGGCUGCAGUUGGCCAGGCGCUGGCCGCUGCCCGCUGGCGUUUGUGCCUCGCGCCUUCACCCCCCAGCCCCACAGCCACCGUCCUUCCAUGUCCCCAACCCUGUGGCCACCAUUUUGAUAUGCUCCAACCCCAUUCCCCAACCCCGUGGCCACCAUCCUUCCACGUCCCCAACCCCGUGGCCACCAUCCCUCCACGCACAAGCCCCAUGGCCGCCAUCUUUUGGUGUUCUCCAACCCCACGGCCACCAUUCUUCCACGUCCCCAACCCAUGGCCACCAUCCUUUUGUGUCCCCAACCCCGUGGCCACCAUCCUUCCACGCCCCCACCCCCACAACCACCAUCUUUUGACGCGCCCCCUUCCCCAGCCCCUGC
This 429-nucleotide long non-coding RNA is filed under the name Anser cygnoides (Swan goose). RNAcentral describes it as "lncRNA (ENSACDG00005007787.1)". Lineage: Eukaryota; Metazoa; Chordata; Aves; Anseriformes; Anatidae. The record is from RNAcentral.